CUUGCCCUCUGACACCACGCUAGCAUCAGCUAGGCGUCACUUGAGACGGUCCCAAGGUCUGUCGAUUUUAGGCCGGCCUGUGGACUGGCUUGGGCUAGGUGCCAGUCGAUUCCAUGGGCUGGAGUGGAUUGGCUGAGUUUCAGCCUAUUUUUUCCACUAGGUGCCGGCCUAUCCCACCCCCGGUGGACUUGCUCUUAUGGCUUAAAGUUUUAGCCCAAGAUUACUAAAUAAUGAUUUUAACCUAAUUUUUUCUUUUCGGUAACUUUUUUGAAAAUAAAAUUUAUGUAGAUUAUCUUAAUUUAUUUUUAUGACCAUUUUAAUCUAAAAAGAUUUAAAUUUUGAUAAGUAAUUAAAAAAUAUAAAAAUACAUAGGUAUUUAUAAAGUUUUAAGUUAAAUUUGAUUUAAAUUAUUUUCUUAAAUUAUUUAGACUUUAGAUUUAAUUUUGGACCGUCAAAUCUUUUUUGUACCAUUAGAUUUGGUCUCUUUUGAUUACAGCCGUUAUAUUAUAAGUAAAAAAUAAAAACAAAGAAAUUGAAAUAUGACAGUUUAAUGGAUCCAAAAUAAUUUAAGCCAGGUAUAAAUCCUGGGGUAAAUCUAGCUCAGAGAUAUAUUUUCUCCCUAGGGCUUAUUUUAGCCCAAUGGUUAGAGAUGGCUUAAAGGGGUUUUAAGGAUUAUAUUUUAAGCUUUAUCCCAUGAGUUGGAGAUAGUCAUAUGUAAUAAUCCAAUUAUCAACAUUCAUAUCAUUUGUUUUACAAUUUAAUCUCCAUAACAUUACCCAAAACUUUAUUCAUUUAAUUAAGGGAGUUUUAACGAAACACUCCCGGUACUGUUCACUUUUAACGAAAAACUAUAUUUUUAUCUUUCUUGGCUAUUAUUCACUACACAUUUAUUUGUUAUUUUUUAUUAAAACUGUUGCAGUCCUAUUAGAUUAGGAAUGUGAUUGUGUAAAUCCUAGUAUAUCUUGGAAUAUCUCUUAUAUUCCUAUUAAGAGUUAAUUACCUAUUAAAUGUUGUAAUCUGUGAUGCACAAAACCGGAGAGGUCUUGGAACAACGUAAAUUCGACCGUGAAACUUCAAGAAAGUAAAUAACACAAGAUGUAUCGUGGUUCACCCCAAUGUUUGGGCUACGUCCACACUGAUAUUGUAUUUCUCUGUUUGUGAGAGGAUUGUGAGGGAGAUAGAGCUUCUGUUUAGGGUGAGGAUAAGAGCUUCUUUCCCAUGGCCUAAGAAUUGGCCUCCCUUAAUGAGGAAAGUAAGGAGUCAUUUUAUAGAAUAAGGGCUCCUUACUUAUUACAUAUUUGCCCCUUCAUUUAUUACAUAAUUACAUUUGAGUUCCCCGAGUAUUUAUACGAGAUCUAAAUACGGAGGCCCUAAGUAUGGUACAAACAGUAGUCCCCCAAGUCUUCAGUCAAGAGAGUCUUUUGGCUGGAGACUUGAAAAUCAGUCCAUGUGUGGGCUGAAGUAACUAGAUGUCGUCUAGAACUGAUACUCGAUAUGAGGCGGUGCUCAAUCUGAAAUGAUGCUCAACUAGAAGUAGAACAUGUUGAUAGGCUGCUCUGCUUGUGGCUUAUGUUGCCUUGGUUGGCUCGGCUUGUGGCGUUGAAGGUGAGGGAGUCCCUUUUAUAGAAUAAGGGCUCCCUCCUCAAUACAUAAAUGAUGGGCUAGAGUCGAUGCUCGCGGCGAGGCGGUUGCUCAGUGAUAGGAGCAUAUUUAUGCGACUUAAUUGGCUU
This 1730-nucleotide long non-coding RNA is filed under the name Malus domestica (apple). RNAcentral's name for it is "long non-coding RNA (MDOM_LNC000749)". Lineage: Eukaryota; Viridiplantae; Streptophyta; Magnoliopsida; Rosales; Rosaceae. The record is from RNAcentral.